RNAcentral lists this ribosomal RNA (497 nucleotides) under uncultured bacterium. RNAcentral describes it as "partial 16S ribosomal RNA". It matches the Rfam family "Bacterial small subunit ribosomal RNA", at positions 28 to 507 of the family's 1533-position model. The record is from RNAcentral.
GAUGAACGCUGGCGGCGUGCCUAAUACAUGCAAGUCGAGCGAACAGACGAGGAGCUUGCUCCUUCGACGUUAGCGGCGGACGGGUGAGUAACACGUAGGUAACCUACCUAUAAGACUGGGAUAACUUCGGGAAACCGGAGCUAAUACCGGAUAAUAUUUCGAACCGCAUGGUUCUAUAGUGAAAGAUGGCUUUGCUAUCACUUAUAGAUGGACCUGCGCCGUAUUAGCUAGUUGGUAAGGUAACGGCUUACCAAGGCAACGAUACGUAGCCGACCUGAGAGGGUGAUCGGCCACACUGGAACUGAGACACGGUCCAGACUCCUACGGGAGGCAGCAGUAGGGAAUAUUACGCAAUGGGCGAAAGCCUGACGGAGCAACGCCGCGUGAGUGAUGAAGGUCUUCGGAUCGUAAAACUCUGUUAUUAGGGAAGAACAAACGUGUAAGUAACUGUGCACGUCUUGACGGUACCUAAUCAGAAAGCCACGGCUAACUACGUG